AGUGGGGUAGGUAAAAAAUACUGGGGGGUUUUCUCCCCCCUGUUGUGGGCAAUCCCACCCCUGCUA
This 66-nucleotide transfer RNA is filed under the name Graffilla buccinicola. RNAcentral's name for it is "tRNA-Glu". The record is from RNAcentral. Lineage: Eukaryota; Metazoa; Platyhelminthes; Rhabdocoela; Graffillidae.